This 253-nucleotide ribosomal RNA is filed under the name uncultured bacterium. RNAcentral describes it as "partial 16S ribosomal RNA". It matches the Rfam family "Bacterial small subunit ribosomal RNA", at positions 524 to 776 of the family's 1533-position model. The record is from RNAcentral.
UACAGAGGGUGCAAGCGUUAAUCGGAAUUACUGGGCGUAAAGCGUGCGUAGACGGUUAUGUAAGUCGGGUGUGAAAGCCCCGGGCUCAACCUGGGAAUUGCAUUCGAGACUGUGUAGCUAGGGUACGGAAGAGGGAAGCGGAAUUUCAGGUGUAGCGGUGAAAUGAGUAGAUAUCUGAAGGAACACCAGUGGCGAAGGCGGCUCACUGGACCGGUUCUGACGCUGAGGCGCGAAAGCGUGGGGAGCAAACGGG